Molecule: long non-coding RNA, 521 nt
Organism: Sinocyclocheilus rhinocerous
Lineage: Eukaryota; Metazoa; Chordata; Actinopteri; Cypriniformes; Cyprinidae
Exons: 3
Source: RefSeq, a predicted model, not a curated record
AUUUGUAGAGUUCUGCAAGGAAAACACUUCCCACAAACUGGCUGUCUGUGCUAAUUAAGAAGCAAGUCUUCAUAAUUAUAGUUCACAUUUUUAAAAACUACCAUCUGGCCAUAAAGAUUUCAUCUGACCAUAAAGAUUUUUGCAUUUGUCUUUUGUUACACUGACACUCAAGAGUGAUAUUAAAAAUUGUCCCUUACAUGUUUAAAGCCAAUCAAGUCUCAAAACAAGUUUCUGAGGUCAAAGGCUCUGCAAUCCCCACCCUUACUUCCAUUGUGCUAUAUCUAUCUCUAUCAAGAUUAAGGAUUUAACCAUUAUCCACUAUAUGAAGCCCUGCUACCUUUAAAGCACCCGGCUGAGAAGCACGGCCAAGAAAAGCACUGAUGACGCAAUAGGCAGCUUAAUGUGUAUUGAAUGAAUGAAUGAUUCUGUAGGUGCAUCCCAAUUCAUAUGCUUAUGCACUAUGCCAUUUUGUAAUAUAAAUAUUGUGUUCACACUUAAAAAUUCCAACACAGAAUUUUGGA